Molecule: long non-coding RNA, 27118 nt
Organism: Pseudopipra pipra
Lineage: Eukaryota; Metazoa; Chordata; Aves; Passeriformes; Pipridae
Exons: 6
Source: RefSeq, a predicted model, not a curated record
GCGGGGCCGGCCCCGCGGCCUCAGGCCCGGGCAGGGGUAGUGGCAGUGGGAAGGGUUUAUUUUAGGUGCUUUUCUUUUAUAAAUAAUACUGUUAAUAGUAGCGUCAUGUUGAAAAGGACUUUUCCCCAUGGCCUGCAGACGGGUGUUGCGGGUUAGGAGCGAUUUUUAGCCUUCAGAAAGUUCCAGGCCCAAUCCUCUUGGUUCAGCAGUGAGCUCAAAACCAGGGAGCUGAAACUGUUGACCGCACCUGCCAGCAAAGGGCAAGAGCAGAAAGCUGCAAUGCUCAUUGUGAGUUAUGGCAUCAUUCACCCCAACCUGGUGUGCUGAAACCAACAACAGUGGGAUGGAGACCCUGCACACCAGAUUCAACGAGAGGUCCCCACAAUGGCGGAAAUGCUGUUUUGGUCUCAAUUUCUAUUUUCAUCUUUCUCCAUUAUGUUAUCUGAAGAGCAACAAGAACAGAUGGAUGCUUCCUUAGCACCUGCUGCUGUGGGAGUCUUCUGAAACACUUGCAAUUUGAGGCUCACAUCAAAGUCAUGUCCCUGUAUUGACAUGAGAAGUCAAUACUUACAACAUUGGGGAAAACAGAAGAUGAAACCAUGAAUGAAUGUGCACUGUUGGCUGCUCAGCUAAGGCUGUUUAUAUGAAGAAGUGGCUUGCACAGGGGUGAGAGACUGGGAAGCAGUUGUUUUCUGAAAUAUAGCUUUUGGCUUAAAGAAUAUGUGUCCUGCUAAUUACUCCAAGAUCAAGUAUAAUUGAGGAGAUGUACAACUGUGGUAGUUUGGUCUAGGCCUUCCUUGGUGACCAGUUUGUAACCAAGGAAGGGUCCAGAUUUACCCAGUAUUCCCUACGAUUUUUACGUAAGCCAGGCUAUAAGAAGAAAGGAGGAGAGGCCUUCGCCCCUCUUUCCUUCCGGCAGCUUGGAGGUGCAGGUUCCCUGCUGUUGAGUCUGUUGUGUUGGGGAGCGAGGCCUGGUAAGGCCUUGCUGACCUUGGGAGAUGGAGGUUGCCGGCGAUCGUUCCAGAGUGUACUCCCAAGGAGAGUAGUGAGAUAUUUCUUUGCUAACUCUUUUAGUUGAUAGAUCUUGGGCUACUAAUCGGGAUAUAUAUAUAUUUUUUAUUUUGGUUUUGUUCCUUUUCCCUUCCCCCUUCCUUUUCCCUUUUGAAAUUAUAUAUAUAUUUCAAUUGUAUAUAACUGUAACAUAAGUGUAAAUAUAUUUAUAUUAUAUUUAUAUAUAUUGCUUUAGCUGUCUCUCUCUCAUUUCGGUUUUUCUUGGUUGUUUUUCUCCCUUUUCUCCCUGAGGUUUGGGGGCAGGGGGACUUCUUGUGGUAAGGUUUGGAGACUUGGCAGGGAGCCAGCUUCAAACCAUAUCAACAACUAAUCUCAGAACUUUUUAUUCCUUCUCUUUCCAAAAGCAAGUGUUUUAGCGUAGUUUUCAAAAAAUCCAGUCUACAGCAUCAUCUGCUUACACAGCCAGGAAAUGUUAAGUGGUGUGAAUAUGUCAUAGAGAGGGUACAGCUAAGUCAAAGUUAGGCAACUCAACUGGAAAAAUAAACAAACAUCUUUUGCAGUGGAGGAAAUAUCCACUAGCUUUAAUGACUGUCUGCAGUGACUGCGGUGAGGUUUGUCAAGUUGAUUUCUUUGAAAUAAAUUGGCUUCAAACACCAAACAAACAAAAAUAUCUUUCUUCCACUUUUUAAGUGGAUGCUUGAGUCACCUGGUGGCAUCUAGCUUGAGCAAAAGAAGACAUAAACUUACUUAAAUGCUAUCUUUUCAAAUGUUUCUGUAGACUCUGUCAGGUGUUUCAGAUUGCAAGUUUGUUUUUCUUUAACUGUAUAGAAUGAUUUGAUUUUCAGUCUUGGCAGGUGACACAGUGAUGACACCCAAACAGCAUUAGCAGGAACCUUCUUUUGCUACGACAGUUCACCCACACUUUAUAACAGUCUUGUUCAAUGACUCACUUGCUCUGUUGCUACAUAAUUUCUUCCUUUCUCCUGUGAGCAGGGAACAGCAGUAACUUCAUCUUUGGCUAUUCAUCUCAGGGCUCUUUGAAAGUCCAUUCAUAUUCAUCUGGUUCAUCUCUAUUUUCUUAAAGGAAAAUUGAGAUUUUUGUCCAUACAAUGUAUAAUAGUGUGUGGGCUUGCCUUUCAACUCUAUUUAUCUAAUUACAAUUAUAUUUGCAAGUAGUUAUAUCAAAGAUUCUGCAGCCAUAACAAGAUUUGUAACUUGCAGUACUGCUGAAGGUGUGAAAUAUGUAUGUGUGUAUACUUGUCCCUGACUUCUCACACAAUAUUUUAAUGUAAAACUUUGAGAGUUAUUUAUAUACCUACUCAAAGUUCUAGAGUAAUUACUGUAGAGUAAAUAAUAAAAAAAAAAAGUGAUGCAAAAAAUAUAAAUCUUGUUUUAUGUUUGGGGGCUGUACUAAACAUAAUUUGCCAGAAAGCUGCAUCUUGUGUUUGCAGAGUGUUUAUCAGACUUCACUAUUUAUAACAGAUGGAACUACAGCAUUCUGAAUGUUUCUAUUAAACAGUAAAUGGCACUGCAACAUAAACACAAUAUUGCGGAAAUUUGGUCUUGCAAAUUAAAUUCUACAACCCGGCAGAUAGCUUACAAAUUUAAAAUCGUCUUCUCUUUUGUAGAAUAUAACUAUAGCAGAUAUACAUUGCCACAUGCUCAGGAAGGUAACAUUAUUGCUGCAUACUCUGAAAAACAGGAAGGGGAGGAUAACACUGAUAAUUCUGCAAGGGCCAUUGCAUGGAUUUCAUGAGGCACUAUCACUUAUGGAAAGAAAUGAAUGGUCAAGCAACAAAGACAAUCUCUCCUAGCAGGUAAAGAAAGUUCAGCCUUCACCUGGCAUUCUGACAAUUCCAGACAUCAGAUAGUGACAAAUUUAAACAGUGCUCUUAGAUUUGGGAAUCAAUAUGUAAGAUGUAGUGUGGUUGAACUUUGGAACUAAUAUAAGCUGCAUCAUGAUAACGCAAGAAAUACCACAAAUGGUAUUGACAUUCUGACAACAUCUAUAUUAAGUACCUUUAAACCUUCCAAAAAUAUUUACGGUAGCUGCAAGUGAUUCUAAUAGAUCUGAUGCACAUAGAAUGUUCAGGCAAGUGGAUUGUGCCUGUAAAGGUUAUGAACACAUCUGAUCCAUAAAACUCAGAUUCUUAACUGACCUGUGUUUUUCCUAGUGACACUUAAUUAUUUCAGCUAUAAGAUCUAUAAUGUGCUUGGUAGAUUUUGAAUUUUUUCUUGAAUGAAGAUAAACUUCAUUCAUCUUGAAUGAAUGAUGAACUUCAUCAAACUUUUAUCCAGAAUGGCAUUAAACAAAUCUGGCAACUGAAAAUCUGGCAAGAUAUUUUUAUUAAAACAGUUGGGGUUUAUACUUUUGAAAUUGCCUGCGGCUUUUUAUGAGAUUUUUUGGGAAAAAAACCAGUUUUUCUAUAUUUAUAACAGUGGUUCAUCAAUUGUUAUUAACUAAAGGCAAAAGGUUCAAUAUAAUGCUAAAAAUAAAGUUAUAGUUUGUAGCUGAGCUUCUUCAAAAAGGUUCUUAUUUUUGUGUUAGUGGACUCCCAUCUCUUUAUUUCAGGUUUAAUAAUUCAUUUUUGCCUGUGAGAGUCUUUUCUUUCUGAAACUUGGCAUGACAUAACUAUGAUAUUAUUAAUCUGCAUUGUACACACUCAAGCCUGAAUCUUUGUGAGGGAGGCAAACAUUUCAACUGAAAAGCUUAAAUUAAAUGUUUUGUCACAAUUCAGCUCUUAUGCAGGAAGCUGAAUGGCUUAUAAUUGUGAGCUCUUUAGCUGAUACAGGACCACCGAUUUUAGAAAGCUGAAGUGAUUAGCAAGGCCAGCUAUUUCACUUAAUCUGACCAAGGAAAUAGUUUAAUUUCUGAUUGUUUUACUAAUGGCAGAAAGCAAUUCUUGGAAUAGAAUAUUUCAGUUGGAAGGGACCUAGACCAAUCAUCUAGUCCAGCUGACUGACCAGUUCAGAACUGAUGAAAAGUAAAAUCAGGUUGUUAAGAGGAUUGUCCAAAUACCUCUUGGGCACUGACAGGCUUGGGGCAUUGGCCAUCUCUCUAGGAAGCCUGUUCCAGUGUUUGACCACCUUCUCAUAACAAAAUGCUUCUUAAAGUCCAGUUUGAACCUCCUGUGAUGCACCUUUGAACCAUUUCAUUCUGUCCUAUCACUGGGUCCCAGGGAGAAGAGAUCAGCGACUCCCUCUCCCCAUCCUCAGGAAGCUGUAGAAAGCAAUGAGAUCACCCCUCAGCCUCCUUUUCUCCAAACUAGACAAACCCAAAGUCCUCAACUGUUCCUCAUAGGACUUGUGUUCUAAGUUCAAAUCAAGUGGUAAUAGAUGACCAGAGUUGAAAUUACUAUGUAUGCAUGUCUGUACAACAGAAGGAAAACAUAGGAAACAGCAAGAAAAUUAAGUUCAGAGAGCAAUCCAAACCAGAGAACUCAAAGUAAAAUAUUAUCAGGUGAAAGAUGUGUCUCCUGUUUCUUAUUUUCCACCAUAUUCAGGAAAAUAGGAUUUCAUGUACAUCUUCCAAAAAUAAACAAGAUUACAACAAAUACAUUCCUGAUUGCAAAAUCAAUUUCAGGGGAAAAUAAAACAAUCUGAAAGGUCUCAAACUGCUUAACUACUCAAGCUAUAACUCUAUGGAAUUGUAUCUUGCUAUUCUUCUUACUAUAGACCUGUAAGAAAAAAGAAGAGUUUUAUUUCCAAAGUAUUAGAGUUUGUGUGUUACAAACUGAAGAAAAAACUAAAAAAUUAUUUAUGAGGCAGCAAGGGAUUAUUGUACAUUCAUUUAAAACCAAAAUAUACAGUUCGUAAUUUAAAAGUAAAUAUAUUUAAAUGUUAUAUUUUUCUUAAAAAGUGAUUUACCCCAAGUGAGACAGCAAUGCUGAUUUGUCAUAAGAUAGCCAUUUUGCCGUACAGAAAUGAGAUAUUUUUCAUUUAGCAUUAUCUUGAUCAUUCUGUGAUAUAUAUAUAUUUCUUCUUACAUUAUUAUUUUUUAACUGUUAAAAUAAUCCUGUCAAUGGUAAAGGAACAGAUCAACUUUUCAAAGUUUACAUUUCCUUUCUUACCAAGGGAACAUGUUUAAAAAAAACCAAAACAAAAACACAAACUGCCCCAGAUCAUAACGAUAAAAAAGUAUUCUGGGCACUCUGCUAGAACAUAGGAAGUAAUCUUUGGUCCUGAAGAUUGGUGGUAUUUUUAAACAAAGAUGUUUUGAUGUAAUGUGUACCUGUCUGAGAAUCCUUGCCUGGAAAUUGGAGAUCUUUUCUCUCUUGGGUGAUUACCUUAAUGACAGACCUUUAUUUAGGCUUUGCUUCUCUGCUUUUCCGCAUGAUCCUUGUAUGCUGAGCAAUACAAUGGUGCGUAAGUCAUGGCUUGACCAUGUCUGAAAAUCAGGGUAUAUUUAAGAGAUUUUGGUUGAGACAAAGGAAUGCCUGCCUACAUGGGGAUUGCAAUGGAGUAUGAAUUGACAGGCAGAAACCGACCACCACCAAAAUCAAUGCCUAAGGGAUUAGACCAAGGUGAGUGGAUUGCUAUGGGGGAUGUAGCUGAAUUUUAGCCUCAUUUAAAAAGGCUUUAGCUAGACUCAUUCCUUCUGAUAUGUACCUGCUGAUGUAGACAGUUACUGCCUUCUUUUUACAAUUUUACAAUAACAGCAGCCAAAAACCAAAAGCACCCCCAAAAUGCCAGGUGACAAGGUGUUGUGAAUGAGUGUUUUAAGGCUGCUUAAAGACAUCACCACAGUAGUUUAUAGGUGUUGCUGAGACAGAUUAACACUCCUGGAGUACAACUGGCCCAUCUUUUGACAAAGAUUUUUCCUAUGGCUUCUGGCAAUGCAGCAGCCACAGUGAACAAACAGUAAAAUAACACUGAGACAUCAUCAUUCAAAUGUCACCAAGACAAAUGUCACCUGGUUUGGCAUCUAGAGACCACAGAGCUCUGGAUAUGCUAUAGCAAUACUUUUGUGCUUCCCCUGGGGGUAGGAAACAGCUCUCACCUUUUGCUGUGCACUUUUGAAGAACCUUCCACUCAAAAUUAACUGUGCCCAGCAAACAAAAAUUUGGUUUCUCUCCUAUUGUACAGUGAAUCAUUACAAACUUUUAUUAGAGGUCCAAAACUAAAAUAGAGUUUUAUUUCAGAUAAAAGAUUGUAAUGAAAAUAAAACCCAGAGAUACUCUUUGUGAAGACUGACAAAUUUCAAAGAAUGCAAAGUACAAACAUUCCAAACAUGCAGUUACAUAAACUAUUUCAUUUUGCAGUAAAACUUCAUAAAACAUUAAAUUUUUAAUGCUCCUUUACCAUAGAAUAUGCAAAUUAACCUUUACAAGUCUACAUCUUCCAACGAUAGAUGGCACUAGUAAUUCCUGCAUUCACCACAACAUUAAAUACUGUUAUAGCAUUUUAACAUAUGCAAAACUAAUCAUAACUGCCCAAGUAAUAUAUGACAAUCAACUCUGCUCUAAAACACUUACAUAGAUUUUUUUUCUCACAGCAAAACUGAAAGUUAUGAUAGCAGGAGCAACAUCUCAAAAAUAUUUUACUACUUAAAAUGAUUUAUCCAAACUGUGAACUAGGAAAAUAUUCCACUAUCAAUUACAUUGGUGUAAAUCACAAUGUUCAAUGCCAAAGAACAAGAAGAGAUUUCUAUUUAUUAGCACCCAUAAAGCCUGUUGUGUACUUGCAUAGGAGCAGUAGGAUGAUUUUUACUUUUCAUUAGAAAAUUAUCAAAGUAAUUUUAGGCAUAGGUCUAACUUAGAACAGUGAAAAAGACACUUUUAAAAGGACACAAAGUUUGUUGAUGUUUAUUUGUGCAACAGAAACACACCUGCUCCUUCAGGAGAGGAACCGCCUGAGUCUUCCCACAAAAUCAAGUGUCGGGAACUCCGCAUCAUGAGAUGUACUGCAAAGACAGUGUGGCAUCUCAGAGGAGAGAUCUGGACAUGCACACCUUAACAUAGCCCUAGGUUAGACAAGGAGCCUGUUAUUUAGCAGCCACAGAAGGCUAUUAAUCUUUCUAUCAGAUGACAUAUACACUGCAUUCCCUGUGCUCUUCAGCAAGGUGAAGGUGGGAUUGAAAUCAGCUGACUAGCAGCUGGUGAGAGAAGAAUAGGCAUGAGAUUUAUAGAUCUGAAGUAGUGAGCAGAGCACAGAGGACAAUUUUAUGGCAUAAAAGGAUUCAUGUGUUAGCAAAAAAUCAUGUGCCUGUGGUUUCCAUGAUAGAACAAUUCUUUUUUAGUAUGUAGGUUGCUGAAGUGUCUUCGGCAGACCAAAAGAAAAGGAGGACAGGGACAGGAAUUUGGACUUCACAUCAAAGUGGGUAUUCAUGCUGAUAUAACAGAACUUCAGUGUAAGAAGAAUACUGACCUCUGUCUACACUGGAAUAGCCCACUCCACAGUCUACUUGCCAUCAAAUGUCUUCCUUAGUAUAGACCAACAUCAGCUCAGAUCAUCAUUCUCAUUACAGAGCAUUAUGGGGAAACCCAUUUUUUAGAGUUUUUAGGCAAUAAAACCCAUGACUUCAGAAAUGGGAAAAGGUGUGAGGUAGCAGCAUCUGCUUUGGCAUUUGUGGUAACUAUAGUUUCAAGUUACUUUUGCCAUUAUCCCCCCCAUUCACCCAUUAUCAAAACAUACUGUUGUGUAUCAGUAGUUAAUAACUGUUGAAUCUCAGUGACAGUCCCUGGAAGGGAAAUGCUAUCAGGUAAGUCAGGGAGCCCUGCAUCCACCUCUGAAAUACAGUCUUCCUUUUCCAAGUAAUAUGGAUAGUUCAUUCCAUGCACUGUGGCAAAUCUCCAAGCAUCAUGCAGGGUUGAACUUUAAAUGAAGUCGGCAUGUUUGUAACAGCCAGGCUUAGUCAGUCCUAUUGUUUGGAAAAAUCAUCUCUAAACAGACCUUAAAAAUAACCAUUCAAUUUCUCAUUUAAUCUUUUUUUUUAAUUGACUUGUUGCAUUCUUUAGAUGUAUUGAAAUUCCACUACACAAGCUCCUGUGGGAAAAUAGUACUCAGCAAUUUGAAUUUGUUAGCUAGUCUGAACACAGAGGAUCUGAUUCUCAUUUAUGUUACAGUCGCUUUAUAUUGCUCAGGCAGUAAAUUGCAUUUACACUCAGUAAAUGAGCAACUGGAGUAGUGUAAAGGAACUUUAGCAUGAAUGAGAAUUAGGCCCAAAGCCUUUCUUAGUUUUUAUAGCAACUCUGUUAUUCAUCUCAAUUGGUGAGAUAGGGAUUGAUUGACAAACAAAGAGCAACAUGGUAUUACCUAGUUUGGAAGGAGAAUUGAGCCAGGGAUUAGGAAACCCCAAUUCAGUGAAGGAAAUCAGACUGGCUGUUAAAAGCCUGAAGUCCGACAAAACACUAAGGCCAGAUGGUUUCAGCAUACAUUUUUACAAUCAGCCAAGUAUAAAAGAUGAAAUAGCUCCCCUGCUGGUUAAAGUAUUUCAAAAUUAUUUACAGAUGGGAAUUAAUGUUAAUGACUCGUAUAGCUAACUCCCUACAUACCAUGCUGAAAAUUUACCGCCCUCGAGUUUAGUCCCAGCAAAUGCACCAGGAAGUUUCAUCAUUUGAAAAUGAAAAUAGAUUUUCCUCAUCUUACCAUGUACAACUAACCAUUUCAAUUUCACAUCUAAGAGGUUUAAACAGAAGUAGGAUAAUGAGGGACAGAGCUAAUACCAGAAACGUCCUCAACAUGAAGAUUAUUUUAACUGUAAAUUCCUACAGCAGAAGAUUUACUCAUAAAACAUAACAUACAGUAGAAGUGUGUUAUGGAGAGGACUGAUAUUAAAGAUAUAAGCAAGAGUGGUUCCGGGGAAUAGGGAGCUCUAUUUCUGGGUGAGUGGCUCAGAGCCAUGUUAGGUCAAAAUGCAGAUUUCACCAGUUAACAUUCCCGUGAGGCAGCUACUCACAUGAAAAAAGUACUAAUGGGCCACCUAACUGCACAUGUAAGUAAAACACAGAACAUUCUGUUCUUUUUAUCUGAACAUAUUUAUUGAUCAUUUGCCUAGAUACAAUUUCUUAGAUCUAACCCAAUCAAGAAUUUAUAAUAAACAAUAAAGAAAACAGAAAAUUCCCCCACUGUGGACUUUUAGUCAGCUUAAAUUAAUGCAGAUUUUCUCCUGUGUACAGAUUUAAAAUUAAGCUUUUGCCUCACUAAGUGGCACAGGUGAAGUAGACUGGAAUCUGAAUGAGCAGUUUUAGAUUUCUCUCCUCUUCACAGAUAAAAAUCUCACUAAUCAUUGCACUCCCUUAACAGAUUCAUUUCUCUGAGGUACAACUAACUUACUGUCUGAUCUCUCUUCUCUCAUUAAAAAGCAAACAAUUUAAAAAUAGUCCUUGAUCAAGGUCCUUUCAAUUGCUCAUUUUACAAAUAGGGAUAAUCCAAAAUGAAUGAGACCUAGAAUAAAUUUCUGCUAUUAGUCAUAUGUAAUUACAGCCAGAAAAAUGACACUUUCUUUUUAAGAUCACAUUCUGGAUCUUGGCUAGCAUGGCAGAUUAAUGCAGCACUCAACUUUCUGCUUUUCCUCUGUUUCAGUUUGAUUUUAAUUACGUUUAUUUCAUAUGUAAUAGCAACUGACAUAGCUACUUCUGUAUACAAAGAAACUACUACAAGAUACAAUAUUUCAAUAGUCUGAGUUUAGAAGAAGGUGAAGACAGGUAGCUUUGCAGAGAUCAUUAAAUAGUCAACCUUUAGUCUAGCUGAGAGAAAACAAACAAAACCCCUCAAUUACCAGAGAAACAGGACUUAGAAUUACAUCUUCAGAAAAGGUAAGAAGUUCCUUUCUGGUCAUUUCUUGAAUGACCCUCUCCUGACUUUCCCUUCAUUCAGUUAUUCUCCCUUUCAAAUCCUUCUUCAGCCUACUCAAAUCUCCAAUGCUGAAAUAAGUUUGAUGCUCUCUAACACUGGAUAGCUAUGGAUUUUAUUUCUUUUAGCUCCAUCAGUGCCUGAAGUGCAAAAACCUCACCCAAAAAAAAACCCCAAAACCACAAAAACAACAAACCCCAAAAAAGCAAAGGGCCACUGCUGAAGGAUACUCCUCCUCAUCAGAACUGGUGGCAGCUAUGCUCAGUAAUAGGUUUUCACCAUUUCCAUGACUGAUGCAUGGGCUGCUCAGUGACCAAAGGCAGAACUACGGGAGGUGCUGGUAAGUACCAAGUAGUGCUGUUGUACCAAUUAUUGGUCCAAAUUAGCAAAGCUUGGCUAACAGCCGAUUCACUUGUAGUUGUUAGUAAUAAGGACAGUCACUGAAAAGCCUGGGGGCAAUUCUCUAAAACGCAGUUUAUUAUCCAAAUUGUGAGAUGUAAUUCCUGAUGGCAUCAGAAUGCAUAGAGCUGGCUGUCAGCUGGCAGUAACUGCAAGGAAUCAUGCAUGUGCAGCCCCCUUGCAAACAAUACAUAAAGGCACAUUUCUCAGAGAUAUCCACUGGCAAAAACUGUCAUUAAUACUUACUGCCUUAGUUAAUGAUAACAAACUCAUGCUAACUAUUAGAAAAAGUCCAUUUCUAUUUCUGUGUUUUCAGUGCAGCUCAAUUUAAGUAUCUACUCUGCCCUUGUGAGAUCCAGCCUGGAAUACUGUGUCCAAAUCUGGAGUCCUCAGUACAUGAAAGACACGGACCUGUUAAAGAGAGUUCAGAGGAGGGCCACAAAUAUGGUCAGAUGGCUGGAGCAUCUCUCCUAUGAAGACAGGCUGAGAGAGCUGAAGCUGCUCAGCCUGAAGAAGUGAAUGGUCUGGAGUGACCUUAUAGCACCUUGUAGUACCUAAAUAGUCUUAUAAAAAAGAAAGAGAGUGAGUUUUUACAUGAGCAGGUGUUGACAGGACAAGGGACAAUGGUUUUAAUGGUUUUGAACUAAAAGAGUGGAGAUUUAUAUUAGAUGUGAGGAAGAAAUUCUUUACUGUGAGGGUGGUGAAGCACUGGAACAGCUUGCCCCAAGAAGUUGUAGAUGCCUCAUCCCUGGAAGCGUUCAAGGCCAGGUUGAAUUGGGUCCUGAGAAACUUGAUUUAGUGGAACAUGUCCCAGCCCAUGGCAGGGGCUUGAGACUAGAUGAUCUUUAAGGUCCCUUCCAACCCAAACUGUUCUAUGAUUUUGAUUCUAUGAUUUUAUGAUUCUGUGAAUGUAUGUACCAUGUCAAAUCAAGUACUGUCAUCUCAGCAGUCCCUAAUAUAUUGUCUAUUUUCUGUGAAAGGGACUUUUUCCCAAAGCCAUCUGUAUUAACUGUUUUUAUCUGCUGAUGUCUUAUUUUUCACUGAAACCUUUUUCUCUUCUGCACAGACAGAGAGUUCCCUUCUCUCAGUUCCUUUCUUUUGAAUAUUUUCAUUAGAAGGAUGAGAAAUAACUGGUACACAAAUACUAUAGCUGAUAUAUUUCAGUCUUGACAUGCUGAAAAAGAUACAGUUUGAAAGAACAAAUUACUUUCUACAGUUUUCUUAUUGCAUGUUAAAAGAAAUUUAGAUUGCAAAUAUAAAGAUUUAACAAACACAUUAAGACUUAAAGACCAUUACUUAUUAAACUAAAACUGAGAUAAUACAACAAUCAAAUUAAAAAUACUGUUGCAAAUAAAAUCAGAAAGAUGAUGGUUGUUAGAUUUAGAUUAUCAAAUUAAUCAAACUAGGAGUCAAACCCAGUUAUGAGGUUUAGACAAGAAAAAAAUGGGAUAUUUUUUUCUAGUUCCGUAUUGUGAAAUAAAUUGGUUUUGUGUCUCAGUUUAAUACAGCUAUUUUGUUCCCAUUUUUUCCCAUAGUAACAGAAAUUUUCUGACAGUGAUUCAACUAUCGUGACUGCUUUCACAGAGUUAUGCAUAGACUAGAUAUUCUCAAGGAAGUACAGAGACUGUAGCUUCCUUAGCUACAGUUUCACCACUGUUUUCCCUUUUUUAAAAUGUCAUAUUGUUCCAGUAGCUAUUCUUUUGCUUUUCUUAUUACCUUCCCUAUUGCACAUAACAACAUAAAAACCAAACAACAGAAAUAAAACAGAAGAGUGUUUACUAUAACAAGUUUCUACACACAACAGUUGCUCCAGAGAGCACUUCUGUAACUUUGACAGCACUUACUCUCAUAAAAGACCGAUUUGGGAGCUCAUUUUAAGGUUUCAGAAAGUAUUAUCAGAAGUGUUUUUUCACAAGGAUAUAUAUUCAUUCAUUAUGCUUUCUUGUGCUGGCAGAACAUGACAGACAUAGUCCUUAACAUGAGGCAGGAAAAAAAAAGAAAUAGAAGGAUACACUUUUACUUCUUUGUCUACAGAUCACCUAAGUAUGCAGAUGCUGCAUAGAUUAGCUGAAACAGUAGCUUGCUUAAAUUCUUUGACACCUGCAUGCAUCUAAUGGAAAGCAGCAGAUUUGGCUGUCUGGCAUACCCAGCUCAGCGAGUUCUUGCCUCCUCUUGCAGAUGGUGCAGUAUCCAGGAGGAGGGCAGGACACUUCUUUUAUCUGUUAUAGCUAACAGACUCCACGUUCACCUUAUGUGUGCCUUUGAUCACUCCUGGAGGUGAUUCUCUUCUAUGCAAUCUUUGAUAAUAGCACCAGGCUUCUUAAAUAUCGGAUUAAAUAGCUCAACCUUAAUACUAGAUUGUAUGGCCUAUGUACAGUUAACAUAAUCCAGUCAUAUUUCCCAGUUGAUAGGCUUUAGGGCUGAAAUCACUAUGGGGUCACUAAGCCACCCAGGAACCACCCUUGGAAAAAUUCACUGUUCCAUCCACCAAUGAGGUAAGAUCCAAAAUUGUUACCGGUAAAUUCUCUGUUAUCUGGGGUAAAUUAAGACAAACUAAUGUCGAUCCCCCAAAACAUGAUUAGUCGGAGAUAUGGUGCUGGGAUACUGAAGAAGCACCACUGAAGUCAGCCAGCAUUCAGCGUGAGAUGGAGCUGAGAACAGAACAGACUCAGAUUCCUCGCUGUGCUCUCUAGCACCCUCUGAUCAAUGGUUUCUGGCACACAGCUCUGUCUGCUCCCAAAGUGCUGCUGAGGGAGUUAAUAAACCUCUUGGAAUUCACUGCCCUGGGAGGAAUAAUGCAAAACUGUGAGGUGCUCAGCGGGGUGUUGGGACCGAGCCAGAGCAAAUGAGCCCAUCUGAUUCUGCUGAGGGACAGUUAAUUGCCUCUGAAGCAUGCACCCCAGGACUCUCGGUUCACUGUAAGGAGCAGGCUUAGGCUUGUAGGAGUCAUGAAUUGAUCAAUCAGCUGUGGAGAAGCAGCUAACACUGCUUUUGACUCACAAGUGCUGACCGUGGAAGCAGUGCAGUUGUGAUCAUACAACGCUCUGCCUGAGCCGAUAGCCUCUGCAGGUCUGAACGAGACCUGCACAGAACCAGCUACUGUGCCUGCUCUUCCUGCCAGAGUAAUCCACCAGCUGGGCACUCACCCAGAAUCGCCAAGGGUUAAGUAUAUUGGUUGCAUAAAAAACCCCAGGCAGAAGUGGCAUAAGUCUUUCUACCUUCUCUUAAUAAAUAAGCCAUAUUUGAAUCAUUUUUUUUAAAUGACUAAUGACACUCUACGCUCACACUCAUUCAUCUUUUUACCAGCAGAUGCCAGGUCAUAUAUCCUUGCAUGAAGGGAAAUUAGGGAAAUAUGUUAUAAGAUUUUAUCAAGGAGUAUUUUCAUGAUCUGCUUAGCAGAAACUGCUUCUACACUUUUUACACUAAAUUCUAUUUAACAUCACUUAAAUGUAAGGUAAUUCUUUAACACAGUUUUUUCCCCAUUCCUCAUGGUCUCUCUAGCACUUGCAUUUACUGCAACUACUGGUAGCAAAUUGAAUAGAAAUGCAAGCAGCAGUUUUUCAACAGAAAGACACUUGCUGGCAAGAUUCCUCAUCCCUGUUUUCUUUACUUUUUUUUUUUCUUAUUGAAGAGCAUGGAAAUUUAGUAGUUUUCUCCAUGCCUUGCAGUUCCUUGUCUAGAUCACCUGCUGGAUGCUAUUACACCACCAUUACUUCUCUGACACUCAAUUCUGAUGAAUCUCCCUUAAAAACUGUGACAGUGGUUCUAUUAGAUGGGAGUAAUUCCAUACUUGCAGUCUCAUUGACAUGAAAUUCAAUUAAUUUUGAAUUAUGAUCAGAAACAUGGAAUAGAUUUGAUUUUGCAGAAAGUUGACAUUUCAACACAGAGAGAUGUGUGUUAUACUGAUUUAUGUGAUUAGGGAAAAAUACUAUGAAAUAUUUUUCCUUUAUGGUACUCAUCUUCAAGAGAGAGAUUCUUUAUUUAUAUGAGCAGAGGGAGAGUGCUUUGACCUCAGAAGGAAGAAACCUGAUUGUCCCCUCUUCUGAUUGCUGUGUUAUAUAUCUGUGUACCUCAAAAGUUCAUUGUGUAGCUAAGCCUCAAACUUUCCCUGAGAAAGCUGCCAACUAUCACCUCCCGGUUAAUCAUAAAGUGACACUGCACACUAACUCUUAGUUAACAUUUUGGCAGAGCUCGACAAAAGUGCUUUAUUUCUGGAGCUUCACUUGCUCGGGCAGAGUCCUCCUGGAAUGAAUGUGGCAAACAGGAUUUUGCAUAUUCUCUAGGAGGGCUGAAGAGCAUUCAAACUCUGCUGAUUGACUGUGAAAAUGAGCCCUGUGGUCACAUAAUACUGAUUUUUCCCCCUCCAGUUUUCUUUAAGAGAUUGUGUUAUGUUAUAUAUCUUUUGGUUAACUCUUAUUAAAAAAGUAUAAUCUGUCAAUGAUGCCAUCAAAUACUAAGCACAAACAUUUCUCUGUUAAUAGGAGGCAUAUUUAUGGAUCUCACUUUUAUUACUUUAUUAGCCUUUCACACUUUAUUGAUAUGUCUUAUAGUGACAAUAUUGGAAGUUGAGGAACAUAUAUAGUCUAUUGGUAUUUAAACAGCAAAGCAAAUAUUGUGAAUGUCUGUCUGGCUUUUAUGCCACCUUCCAUUCUAGAUCAUUUUGUUUUGUUACAAUGCUUCCACAAGUUUUCAUGGGAUUACACAAGUAUCACAGAAAAACGUGGUCUUUCAUUAUUUCCCAUUUUGUUUUGGUCAGUUUGGUCAGUUGGGUUCAGCUAUUCCAGCUGUGUCCCCUCCCAGCCUCUUGCCUACCCUCAGCCUACUUGCCUUUGGGGAAUGGGGAGGAGGUGAGAGACAAGAAACAAGAGGUGGUCUUGAUGCUGCGGGAUAACUGGUUAGCAAUAGCCAACACACCAGUGUGUAAUCCACACUGUUCUAGACACAGACGCAAAGCACAGGGCGCUGUGGGCUGUUGGGAAGAACAUUAACUCCAUCCCAGUCAGUAAGCUUCUUACUACCCUCCGUGGACAUAAAAUAUCUUAUGAUGCUUCCCGAAAGAUCUGAUGUUUCCUUCCCUCUUUUACGACCUUACUAAGGCUGGCAAAUAUUAAACGUCUGCAUCUGGAUUUUCUUAUUCACUAUGCUGUGAGGUGUAAAUUACUUUGCUUACUUCACUUUAAAAAGAAUAGCAUACAUUUUAAGCAAUUUAAUCUGAAGAUAAAGAUUUAAAAACUUUCCCCAAACCGGAAUUAUUCACAAAGAUAAUAAAUGGAUACUUUGAAUCUAGAGCCCUUCAUUCAUUUUAGGAAUUCAGUUUUUGCAGUCACCUGUCAAAGACAACCAUUAAAAACUACAACAUACUAAAAAAGAAAAGUUUGCAGACAGAUUUCUUUGAUAUGGCAAAUAGUUCUUGGCAGUGAAAGAAAGAAACUGUGAUGUGAGCUGUUCUUUUAUUUUUGCUUAUUAUAAUAAAUGCCAGCCUACAGAUGGAAUUCAAGCUGUAAUUCCAAAUAUAUUAAAUGAUCUACUUUAAAAAAUGAGUCAAGUGAGUCCUCUCUUUUAAAGGCUGUGAAAAAGAAAUCAUCUUUUUUUUAAACUUGCCAGUAGAAAAGGGGAUAAGCGGGAAGUACAAUUGAUCCCAUCUAAAAUCUUACAGUUGAGAACAUUUAUUAUGGCAUAAGGCAGAAAGGGAUAGAUGCUUAUAAAUGAGAUCCAACUUUCUCUCCAGAUGCUUUCUGCCGAAAUACUAUUCAGAGUGAACCUUUAAAACUUGAAUUUGGAAAGCAUAAACCAUGCUAAAAUAAAUCUAAGCUGAUAUAUUCAUUUGUAACAAAAUGAAUGUGACACAUCAUGGCUAUGACAAUGUGUAAUUUCACCCUGAGAAUUCAGUUUUCAGAGGUGAUUUAAUUUUCUUUAAAACAUUAUUGAAAACUACAAGACACAGAUUAGAAUCCUUGUCCCAUAUGGAUAUUAAUUUUGAUAAUGUUCACUCUACAACUAAAAUACAAUAGGCAAAUCCACUAUUUGCUAAGCCAUCUAUGAUGGAAACGGUUGAUACAUAAUUGUUUAAAUGCUCAGUAGGAUUAUCAUUCUAAUGCUUAAAUACUCUAACAGGAGGUAGGAUAAAGGUUAGGAAAAUUAGAUGACUUAUAAAUGCUUCAUUAAAUAUUUUUUCAGGCAUUAAAGCAAUCCAGAAGGAGGACACGAACUCAAUCUACUGCUCUCUGUAAAGUUUGUACAUACAGUGUAAGACAUGAUAAAGUUAAACUGCACUGAGAGAUAUGUCCAUGGUAUGGAGCUGUUUGAUAAAUGCUGUUGCAGUGUUUGUCUUAGUCCUCAAACUGUGCCUACUGAAGUCAAUGGGAGUUUCUUACUGCAUCUACAGGCAACAAAUAAGGUCUAGAUUCUUUACAUUUGCUUUGACAUUCUGUUUGAUAUUCACAAAUACAGUGCUGUUCUCCCUGCUGUUGUGUUUGUAUGCCAGUGUACGUAGACAUGCACACUAUUAAGACCUAGAUGUGGGAUUGAAUUCUCUGCCUUCACACCUGAAUGCCUAUCACAAUGAGUUACUGUGCACCUUUCACGUCAUGGGGAUGUAUAGCCUUAAUUAACCAAGCUGUGUUAAAAUCACAGCUCCAACAUUUUGAUUUAGCAAAGUGUUUAAUCCUGUGCCAACUGUAAGCAUGUAAGUAGUCCUGCCGAGUUAAUGGUGCUCCUCACGUGGCUGAACUUGAGCAUGUACUUAAUUGCUUGAUUUGGGGCCAGAGCGCCCAGAACGCUGUGGGAGGGAGCUGUGGGUGGGGGAAUAUGCUCUGCUAAGGCAGGCACCACUCAGGUAGUAAUGGCUUAGUUCAAAACUCUUUCUUUCCUACAGGCCAAAACUUUGAAGAAGCCAAAAGUUUCUGCAGUUUUGAAAGGAUCAUCAUAGCUCAAAAUUCAAGGCAAUAGGGGGAGUGAGAUGGCAGUACGGACUGGAUAUAAAUCACAAAAAAAAUAGGAUCAGAAAGAACAAGAAGAUUAUGAGAUAUAGAAAAAUGUCAAAACUAAUAAGAGGAGAUUUCAUCUACCCAGACACACAGGAACAGGGACACAAUGAGAGAAAUAAAUCAAGCAACAGUCAUGUACUAUAUCCUCAAUGUAUUAAAAGGUGGCAAGAAAGACGAAAAUUCUGACUUUCAACAGUGCAGCUGUUAGGAGACAGAGGUGAAGGACUCACUAAUGACCAUAAUCCAGUUGGAUUCAUUACUGCAGACUGCACCCACAAGAGGAAUAAAGAACCCCAAGGACUUUGAAUAUAGAAGAAUGGGGAAGUGCUGGAGGCAAUCCAGUGGGUUAAGCGUCUAAUGGAAGGAGUGGGAGGAAGGAAGGACACAGAGGAAAUGGAAACUGUUCAGAAAGCAAUUACAGCAUAUCCAAGGGUGAUGCAUUUUAUCCAACAGUAUGUACACUAGGAGGAGAAAAAGACCAUAGGAAAUAAAAACAGAAUUGAAAAAUAUAUUAAGAGAUAAAUAAAAGGGAUACGUAAGUGUAAAAUUUCAGGUGCAGAGGGAGAACAGAAAAUAUAUACAAUUAAUUUAAGAUACAUGAAUGCAAAUAUACAAAAAGUGCAAGCAGAUAAUGAAAUUAAAUUAGAAAUAGGCUAAUAUGAGAGUAUAUCCCUAGCAGAUGCAACAAAAACUCUGCAAAGAAAGCAGCAGGUUUUCAGGGUGAAACCAAAGCAGCAUGAUACUAUGUGCUGAUUCAAGCCCCAUUCCUCACGGCUGAUUUUACUGUUACUGAAAGAAAAGCAAUUGGCAACACUUGUUUUUAGACAAAGUUUUCUCCAUUUGCAACACACUGGGAGAAAGACAAUCCUGCUAUCUCCAUCUCACAGCCACCAAUCCCAGAGCAUCCCAGGUGAAUGAAAUGUAACCACAUAUUAUCCUUAGCAGACACUGCAAGAUGCUCAGGCAGUUGCCUCUUUCACUGCCAUUUCACCUUCAUUUUGCCCAAGCUGGAAAUUAGAAAAUAGAGGAAGCACUGAGUUUGAAGAGAUAUUUGCAGUUUAGACAGGACACAUUUGUACUUUCAGGCUAGUUCAGGCAGUCAGAUGGAAAACACAUCUUGGUAUAAUUUUGGGUGUAAUUUUUGGAUAGUUAGUUUGCCUGGGCCAAAAACAUCCCAAGAAGCAUCCUGAAAAAUUAUAAAUAUCUAGUUAAGCUGCUGUGCCAGAGAGUGUUCCUCAAUAUUACUUGAGACUGUUGCCAUGUGCCCUUGUGAAGAACUUCCUUCUAAGCACUCUUCUCUUUCUGUCUUUUCACUAACAACUGAGGAAAUCUAUGGAGAUCUUCCUUCCCAAGCCAGUCACUGGCCUUUUCCCUUCUCCAUCCCUCAGCUAAAAACAUAAGCUCAUAAUACCAAAAUAAGACAAGGUAAGAUGGUUCAGGUCAGAGGACUUGUAAUAUCUUGGACAUUCCUAGAGCCAGCCCUUCCUAUGUGUUUUCUCCGUGGCAACAUAUUUCUGUCAGAAAGCUACAGCUGAAAUUUAAAACACAAUAGGAAGAAGCAUCAAAACAAUAGACAAUUAGCCAGCAAAAUCACACUACCUCUAAUAUUAAUCAGUUAAGUCCACAACAGAAAAUCUUUUGUGGAGAGCAGAAGGCUACAUCUCCUAAUUUACUCCUGCUAAUAAUGCCAAGGUUGUGGGUUUGAACCCUGUUUGGGCCAUUCACUUUAGAGUUGGACUCGAUGAUCCUUGUGAGUCCCUUCCAACUCAGAAUAUUCUGUGAUUCUGUGUAUUUGAACCAGAGUAAUAAACUGCGUAGGACAGCAUUGUUACUUUAAUCACUUCUGUCUACAUGUCUUGUUUUGUGAGCAAAUUUUCUCCAAUUUUGUUCAUUCAAGAGUCUGUAUGCUUCUGGAAAGCAAAAUGCAACAUAGGCAAAGCCAAAAGCAACAGUGUAAAAUGACAAGUGGCAAUAGGAGCAAUGUUGUACAAUUUGAGAAACUGUUCCACUCAAUCAAAUGUUGCAUUUGGAAACAACAGAUAGGAGGGCAGGUACUUUCUUAUCACCAUUUGUAGUGGAAGUACAACUGCAGCUCCAGUCUGUUUGAGAUGGUGCAGCACACAGUGGGAUACAGAAAAAUAAUAGUCAGAGAUGCUGCUUAAAGCCACAAGAGAAAGCACGGAUUGGCUUAACAAAGACACAGAAAGCCCUUGAUAUUCAUGAGAUUCAGUAAGCUCUGAUAAAUAGCUUCUUCUGAUACUUAACCCUUUAUAACUUAUGGUUGUUUUUAUUCUUGCUGUAGUAUAUGCUCUCACUCUUGUGUGGAACAGAGCUAGUGGAAGCAUUCACUGGGAAAAAAGGUGAGGACCACAUACACCAGAUAUUAUAAUGUACCACUUCCCCUGUAAAGCAUAGUGCAAUUAAUUUCCUCGUGACAGCUUCUGAACCAAGAAAAUAUGUAAAAUAGAUAUAGAAUAUUCAGAGGUUUUUAUUAGCUUUGUUUAGUAUUUUUCACACUAGUCAAAGUUGCAACAACAGAUUUCCUGUUCUCAGACAUCUCUGACUUUACUCCGUUCUUUCAGAAAAAUAAGCAUUUAUCUCCUAAUGGAGUUUUCUUUAAGACAAAACAAAAUCUGAAAACAACACAAAUUUCUUAAUAUUAAAUUGCAAUGUUAAGCAGAAAUACAAACUUGAGCUUUAUUGAUAGUUAUACUAAAUUACUUUAUUUAUUUGCUUAUAUAUAAAACAUGUUCACUGCAGUUUAACACAUCAGGACUAUCUAAUGUAUAGAGAAUAUAUUGCUCUUUAUACAACUUCCACAUGAAUAUACAGAUUUAAUAGCAUAACUCCAUCACUUGAUUGGCAUAAAAUACACUUGACUAUAGAUAUCUCUGUCCCUUCUGAUGUGAGUCUAUAAACCAGUGUAUAUUUGUACUGUCCUUUAUAAUUCAGGAGCACACAUACUGUAUAUAAAUGUGCCUUGACUUUGCUUUUCUUUCAAGUACUGCAUGAGUGAGAAUCUUCAAUAACAGAAGUAAAGCACUUAAAGCUAUCUGCUCCCCUCUGCGCCUUUCAGCAAUAAAUAAUACCCCAAUCCUUGCUCUUGGGGUAAAGAGGGCUAAACCCUUGCUCUUGCAAGGAAACCUUCUGAUUUCAAUUGUGUUCCACAUAGAUCAAGCUAAAAGAUAAAGGUUUAAAUCACUAAUUGCAAUAGUUUGGUUUUGGGUUUUUUUGUGCAUAACUCUGUUUUUCCCUACAAAAUAUUCUGAAUUUCAGAACAUGGAAAAACAGGACAUUUGGCAUAAACUUUUCAUUUGAGGUUUUUUUAAACAUCUGAACAUACAUUUUAUGUCUUCUGAACAACGGUAAAGGCAUUUGAAAAAAAAAUACUUUGCUGAAACUGUAAUUAAAAAAAACCCUCUUUCCUAAAAGCUUUUUUAGGUGAGCUAAAUUAUACUGGACAUAUAUAAAUAAAAAAGAGCAAAGAAGAACAUGAACAUAUAUUACUAGUGUAAUUCAUCAAAAAUAGUUGACACUUCAAUCUAACCCAGAAAUGAAAACACAGAACUUUAUAGAGUUAUAGGAAGUAAGCAAUUUAAACGUACCAUGGCACAAGGUCAUCUAACAAUGAAGCUGGGAAGAUAUUCUCUUUUUAUUCACUUUCCUUCACUCCUUUAAUCCUUCUGAAUCUAUCAAGUACAGAUUAAUAUAAAUCUUUUUAACAGCCAGAGGUGAUCUUCAAUCAGAUAAUUAAUAGUAGUGGUCCAAGUUUUCUAUAACAGGUCCAUCUUUCCAUUUUAAUAUAAAAUGAAAGGGUACUUUAUGUAACUAAGCUAUCACUCUGGGAAAGGUUUCUUUUUCCAUAAUAAAGUAAUGUAUGCCUUACCUAAUUAGCUCAUUAUUUUAAAAUGUAAUUUUUUUGUAAAACUCACUGAGCUACUUCAUCAUGCUUAAAAGGCUACUGAUGUGGAAAAAAACAAUUCUCGGAAUAUACUCACUGCUGCUCAUUCAAAACACUCACUUGCCCAAUCACUCCCCACAUAGUCUGAGCUAAAUAUAUGAGGCAGAGGAAAUGCACUCCAUUUGCUUUGAAAGUAAACCUCCAAGGCCAUUUCAUAAGCAAAAAUCAUAUCCAUGUCAUAGAGAUACUGUAGUUAAGUUUAUGAUUCCAAUUUGGCUUGGAAAGCCUUCCAUACUCUAGAAAAAAAUACUUCACUAAUCUAUAUGUAAAUACUUCAGUAAAACCACUGAACAGUGAUCAAGUUCAGUAUUAAUAUCACAAAUUAAAGAUGUCAUCUGAAAACAUACCGUCUAGAAGAAUGAUCAGAGCUCAUGCUGAAGAAUAAUCCGUGUUUUCAGCAGCCUAUAAACACCAUGGAAAAAACUGCAGUAUUGUAUUCAUUAAGUCUCAGUGUUAUAUACAAAAAACAGUAAAUAAUGAAAUACAGCCAGUGAUAUGGUGGCAGCCGGAUGGGUAGCAGACAAUCACAUGGAAAUGUCAGCCUGAAGAAACUCAUGGUAGGACUAGCAGAUCUAUGUUGUACAGUUCAACUUGGGAAUUAAAUAUACUUUCUGGGCUUGCAUUUCUAUUAUACACUGUUAAAUAAGAAAAAAACCAACCCAACAACCCAAAUAACUCCUCAAUUUCUAAUUAUUUGGUUGAUUUAGUGAAAGUGUGUUUAUUUAAGUAGAUGAAACCGCACAUUUAUUUGCCCCAGGGGAGAGUGAGAGGAAUUAGCCAAAUACCUUUUUGAAGUCCUGUCAAGAGGCAAUGAUAGUUGUAUUGGAGGAAGGCACAAGCAUCCCAUACUUCCCAAUGUGUGUAGUGUUUUUGUAGCUCCUAGACACAUGGACUGUCACCUGUUUACACCACUGUCCACCUCCAUGUGGGCCAGCAGUGCUCUGCCCCAGGACUCAGUUUUCACACAGCAGCAUGGAGACAAGCCAGCUGGAAUGGGCAAGUCCAUGAUUGUGAUGGAAAAAUGAAGCAAUUAAAACAAAAGCAGGAAGGUUUUUUUAAGCCUGCUUGUAGCACUGAGACUGAAGGACACUAGAAUGGCCUGCGAAUUCCUUCUGUCUGGGCACUGGAGCCCAGCCCGGUGCCCAGGGAUCUGGGGCCUCUAUUCAGACUGAUGGACAUGGCUGAUGCUUUUCCCUUUGUGGAAAAGGUAAGUAUGUAUCCCAGAAACACACAGACACACAGACACGUGGACACACACAUACACAGACGACACGAACACAGCUGUUCACACAAGCAGACAUAGAUAAGGCAUUGCCCCAACAGGCCCCACACUCAGGACUCACAUCAGACACAGGCACAUUCAGACACAUCCCCUUCUCCUCUUGGGCUGGCAGAGGCAGAAGGUCACUAGUGCAGCACACACACUGCACUGCUCAAGUUCACAGAAUCACAGAAUUGUUGGGGUUGGAAGCGAUAUCUGGAGAUCAUCUAAUCCAACCCCCAUACUAAAGCAGGUUCACCUUACAGCAGGUUGCAUAGGAUUGUGUCCAGCCUGUUUUUGAAUAUCUCCGGGGAAGGAGACUCCACAACCUCUCUGGGCAGCAUGUUCCAGUGCUCUGUCACCAUCACAGUAAAGCAGUUUUUCCUCAUAUUCAGAUGGAACUUCCUGUGUUUCAGUUUUGGCCUAUUGCUCCUUGCCCUGUUGCUGGGAAACACCAAAAAGAGCUUGGCUCUGUCAUCUUUAUACCCUCCCUUAAGAUAUUUGUAUACAUUGGUAAGAUCCCCCUCAGUUAUCUAUUUGCCAGGCUAAAUAGGCCCAGCUCUCUCAGCCUUUUCUCAUAAGAGAGGUGCUCAAGUCCCUAUCAUCUUCAUAGCCCUCCAUUGGACCCUCUCCAGUUUUUCUUGAACUGAAGGAGCCCAGAACUGGACACAGCAUUCCAGAUGCAGCCUCACUAGUGCUUAGUAGAUGGGCAGGAUCACCUCCCUCAACCUGCUGGCAAUGCUUGUCCUAAUGCACCCCAGGAUACCAUUGGCCUUCCUGGCCACAAGGACACACUGCUGGCUCAUGGACAGCUUGUUGUCCACCAGAACUCCCAGGUCCGUCUCCACAGAGCUGCUUUUCAGCAGGUUGGCCCCCAGCCUGGGGUUAUUCUUCCCGAAGUGCAGGACCCUGCAUUUUUCUUUGUUGAGCUUCAUUAGGUUCCUCUCUGCCCAACUCUCCAGCCUGUCUAGGUCUCACUGAAUGGCAGCAAAAUCUUUUGGUGUGUCAGCCACUCCUCCCAGUCCUGUAUCAUCUACAAACUUGCUUUCCCUUCAUCCAGGUCUUUGAUGAAUAAGUUGAACAAGGCUGAACCCAAUACUGAACCCCAAGGAACAAUGCUAAGCUACAUGCCUCCAACUAGACUCUGUGUCUCUGAUCACUACCCUCUGAGACCUACCAAUCAGCCAGUUCUCAAUCCUCCUCACUGUCCAUUCAUCUAACACACGCUUCCUUAGCUGUACACAAGCACACACACAUUUAUAGAUCCCCUGAGCACUGGCACAGCCCCUCUGCUCACCCUGCACCCCUUCCUGGAUCCUGGCCCCCUUACUCAUCCCAGAAGCUCCCGACUCACUGGCUGAUCCUGCUGGAUGCUCACUGCACACACACAGCACUCACACACUUGUCCCACCAGCACCCCACACUCGUGGGUUCCCUCAAAUACCAGCAUAGACCCUCUGCCCACCUGAUAUCCCUGGCUGGACCCAGCGUCUCCUACACCCUAGUGGGUUCAGCUUGGAGUUUGCCAGUGACUGCAUAUGCGCAACACACAUGGUUUGGGGCAGGUAUGGCAUUUAGAACUGGAGGUUUUGCUCAUACUCAGAUUUAGUGUGUGGCUGCUGAGAAGUCAUUUGAGCUACUUUAGUCCUCAGCUCCUUUUCUCCUUUUCUUCAGGAGGCAGUGAGCCUGCCCACUUCAUAGUGCUGUUCUAAAGAUCAGCACGCUCGAGUUUUGAGGUUGUCAGACAUUUGAGUCAUAAGGCCUGAAAAAAAAAAAAAAAAAGAAGAUAGAGAAUAUCUUGAUGAAGAUACUGAAUAAAAGCUCCCUUCAAAGCAAAAGGAAGGAAUAGGGAAGAUUAAAAAAGGCAUCUCACCUGAGAGGUUCAAAGCACAAAAGAGAAGGACGGAAUUCCUUUUACCCAGCCUCAGUCAGGUGCCCAUAUUAGCAGGUCAUCUCAGCAGCAAAAGAGAAUCAACAUUUAUGAUGUUCAGAAAGCAAUUUAUGUUACAUGUCAUUUCUUAUUAGAGGCACUUAAUCAGCUACACUUAAGAGUAAGAAGCCUUCCCUAGUCCAGGCAUUCGCUGGCUAUCAGAGCUAGACUUGAUGUGUAUACCAACCCCUCAUCUACCACUGAGCACUCACAGAAAUGUAAUGUGCAUUUGGGGACAACAGACACAGUACAUUUCAGUUGUUCCCUUAUCUAGAAAGCUGGGAAUGAUAUUAAAAUGAACCACACUAGAAAGGUGUAAACACAGCCUUCCUGACUGUUUUUUACAGCCUCCACUUGCUUUUUCAGAGUCACCAAGGAUCUGUAUCUGAGUAAAAAGUGAACUGGAGCCUAAAUCCCAUUCCAGUAAUGUAUUCAUAACCUUCACAUACUGCAAAACUUCGAAGAACUUCAGUUCUUAGUCUAGAUUGCCUUGGUCUGUGCACAUAGCUAACCCUAAGUCAGGAUCACUGAGAAAAACACACAGACCGCCCACCUCUGAAGAAUAUGAGAUACUCACACAGAAUCACAGAAUAAGAGAAUCAUAGAUUAACAGAAUGGCAAUGGUUGAAAGGGACCACUGGAGGUCAUCCAGUUCAUACUUCCUGCUCAGGCAGGGUCCCUUAGAGCAUGUUACUCAGGAUUCUGUCCAGACAGCUUUUGAAUAUCUCCAGCGAGGGAAACUCCACAACGUCUCUGGGCAAUCUGUUCCAGUGCAUGGUCACCUGCACUGCAAAGAAGUUUUUCCUCCUAUUCAGGUGGAACUUUUUGUAUUCCAGUUUCUGCCCAUUGCCUCUUGUCCUCUCGCCUAACCACUGAGAGGAGCCUGGCUCCAUUCUCUUGACACUGUCCCUUCAGAUACACGCCUGAUAGGCCUGGCUCUUAACCCUUCUCUAUUUCCCUUCUCAUAUGACUGCUGUUGGCUGACUUUUCAGUUUGGUCUCUGUUUUUCAGUUUGUCAAUUGUCUAGGACUUUUCUGUCUCUCAAAAGAGAUUUAAGAAUUGCCUCAUGAAAGGACAGGGACCUUGGCGAUUCGCCUCCCUGCUUAGCUAGUAUCCCUCUCCAAGUAGAAAGACAAUUGACAAAUGAGAUGUAUAACACUACAGGACUCCCUACUGUGGCUGCUACAUAACAACUAUUGCCUGUCAUUAAAAGUCUCUCGGAAGCUUUUACUAAACUUGGAAAAAAAACUUUGCAGUGGUUGGUGCCCCAGAAGGUACAGUAAGUUUUAUAAAGAAUUUUUGCAGACUUUAGACACCUUGGUGUUCAUGCAAUACUCAGAUAUAUUUCCGUAUCGACUUAUGAUAAUUUCUAGUAAAUCUAGCCCUUUGUCAAGAAAAAAGAUAUAAUUUUUUUCCUUUGAGGAAUAAAAUACAUAGAAAUUUCACAUUCCCUUACCACGUAAGAUAAUUAGAUAUUAUUUGUUUCAUUAUUAAGAUUGUUAAGGUUGGAUAUGUCCUCCCAGUAGGUAUCUCUAUUAAGAUUAUACAUCUAUGUCCAACAUUAAUCAGCUCCACACACUUUUAAAAUGUGUCAUUUGCCUAACAUUGAAGGCCUUAAAGGAGACCAUACCAACCCAAAGAAACACUUUAUAUUCUCAGCUACUUGAUAAUGUAUAGAUGUAAAGACAGAUUUAAACUUUUUAAACCUAGUUUUUAGACUUUUUAAACUGUAUUGCUUGUCUUCACUUCCCCUUUUAUUGCUUUCAGCUAAUUUGUGUUGAAGACUAUGAGCAAGCAGGUGUAAUGAGAAGAAACAGAAGAGGACUCACAAAACAUAUGGACUACAUUUUUCAAUAUUAGGCAUAAUCUAGUGUGUAUUUCUAAAUUACACAUAUAGAAACUAACAGAAAGUAAAUGACUGUGUGCAACAGCAAUACCUGACUUGUACUGCACAGGAAGUAUUGGAUUAAAGAAUCAACUGCAUAUUUCAAGUUUUGAGUGUCUAGUUUUGAAAUUUUAGCCCAUAUAUCCAUUUACUCCAAUAAGUAGCAGUAAUAAGUAAAUCACUUUUACUCUUAUCUGUUUAAAUGGUACUUAUGCAAGGAAAAUGGACAGACAUUUGGACAAGAGGAAAAUGGUUGGUUUAGCUCUUUUUGUCUCUAUCUGGAGACAUAUUCCAUAAUGCAAAAACAGAGGCUACAAAAAACUCUAAACAUACUGGAGUACGAAGUGUUAUCUGUAAGAAAAAAAAAGAAAACUCACAGACAGCUUGUUUAUGACUUUAAGAGUGUAAACACACAUCUAUUUUAUUUAAUUCAGUAAUCCUCUGACAAAACUUGUGAUGUGUUUGAUCAUCAGACUUCUUGUUCAGCUUCCAUCAUAGAAGUAUCUCUGCUUUCCUCAGGGGUAUUGACAGCUGGCAGCAAUCAAAGUCAUCUAACUGCCAGUAUCUCAUUUAAAGGGAAUGACAUUCAGCUACAAAACACCAAAAUUACUUUAAAUCACUGCACAGUACUGUACUAUGCAUCUCAAUGAAAAAAUACAACCUCUCUUAGAAAGGGAGACAUUUAGACCCUUUUUUCUGGGAAGGGUUUUGUUCGCUAACCAGUACCUCGAAGGUGAGCAGUGUACGACAUCACUUGUUCUUGAGUGAGACUCAAGCAUAAGUCAGCCAUGUCUAUCAUAAUCCACUUUGAAUAUGUUGUCUUUGAGUUAAACCAUAUGAAGCAGUCUUCUUCAGAAUUAGUGUAAUCGGUUUAUCUGUGGCCUUUCAAACA